CACGGGGCUCGUAGUCCGGGCUGCGGCCCCGCCGGGGAGCGCGGAGGAAGGCGAAGGAGGGCAGCAGAGGUGAACACCGACGAGCACACAGAGUUCCAGAUGCCGAUCCUCAGAGAAUCCAUGUGUAACAGAAAGGAUGGAUAAUCUUUUGGCUCAGCUCCAACCUGGUGGAGCCUGCAUGUGGUUGUUUCAGGCUAAUGUACAAAAAGGGUCCUGCAUUUAUUCUGACAUUUUAUUUAAUAUAUGUAUUUGUGGCAAUGAUCCUAUUACCUUCUUUCUAAUUGGUGUGGCUGUAUGUAGCAGAUCAUGCCUAAAAAUCCUUUCUUUUGAAGUCAGACGUUAACCUGUUAGUGCUGGGAUUUUUUUAAACAAGGUUAAGCUCUGGUCACAGAAACAUACAGACUCAUUCCAUUUUGAGUUCAAUUACUUGCAUGGGUGUGCAGCAUUUAAGUACCAUGGUAGGUCUAGGUUCUGAGAAACAGCUGAAUGAUAUUACAUAAUCAAAUACGAUUCCAGGGGCUGCAGCCUGCCAGGUUAAAAAUUGCAUUUUAAAACCAGGUAAACCAAUGUAUUUUCUUGAUUAAAGGCAAACUCUAGUUGUAAGAUAUGCAUUAAGCUUAAGUAAGAUACACAUGGCUUUACAGUAUUCUUACACCUUAUCAUAGAAUGGUUUGUGUUGGAAGGGACCUUAAAGAUCAUCUGAUUCUUGGAACAUAGCACCAUGGGCAGGGAUGCCACCUGCUAGAUCAGGUUGCUCAGGACCCCAUUAAACCUAGCUUUAAACACUGCCAGGGAUGGGGCAUCCACAGGAUCUCUGGGCAACCUGUUGAAGUGUCUCACCACCCUCACGUGAAUGAUAAAUACAUCAAUCAGAAGUACAAGUGUUGUGAUAUGUUAUGGCCCAGUAGAGGAUGAAAUACUGAUGCUGUAGACAAA
Molecule: long non-coding RNA, 936 nt
Organism: Vidua chalybeata
Lineage: Eukaryota; Metazoa; Chordata; Aves; Passeriformes; Viduidae
Exons: 2
Source: RefSeq, a predicted model, not a curated record